Molecule: transfer RNA, 73 nt
Filed under: Penicillium camemberti FM 013
Lineage: Eukaryota; Fungi; Ascomycota; Eurotiomycetes; Eurotiales; Aspergillaceae
Description: tRNA-Arg (TCT) (tRNA-Arg-TCT-1-1)
Rfam family: tRNA
About the family: Transfer RNA (tRNA) molecules are approximately 80 nucleotides in length. Their secondary structure includes four short double-helical elements and three loops (D, anti-codon, and T loops).
Source: RNAcentral
GCCCGACUGGCGCAAUGGUUAGCGCGCAAGAUUUCUAAUCUUGAGGUUGCCGGUUCGACCCCGGCGUUGGGCU